Molecule: long non-coding RNA, 2170 nt
Filed under: Volvox carteri
Lineage: Eukaryota; Viridiplantae; Chlorophyta; Chlorophyceae; Chlamydomonadales; Volvocaceae
Description: long non-coding RNA (VCAR_LNC004031)
Source: RNAcentral
GUUCCAAUUGCGUGCGCGUAUGGAUGCUCCUUUCGCCGCCGCCUUUCUAGCAACUAGUUGAUGUUAUGAUGCAUCGUUGGUCCGGUGUACGACGGCGCCUGGUGCGAUUUAUGCGUCCGGAAGCCCUUUCAGCCUCCAGGCAUGUCCCCACCUGCCUCACAGCCACCGACGCAUCUCACGGCGGGGGUCUAAUUGCGUGCGCGUAUGGAUGCUCCUUUCGCCGCCUUUCUAGCAACUAGUUGAUGUUAUGAUGCAUCGUUGGUCCGGUGUACGACGGCGCCUGAUGCGAUUUAUGCGUCCGGAAGCCCUUUCAGCCUCCAGGCAUGUCCCCACCUGCCUCACAGCCACCGACGCAUCUCACGGCGGGGUUCCAAUUGCGUGCGCGUAUGGAUGCUCCUUUCGCCGCCGCCUUUCCAGCAACUAGUUGAUGUUAUGAUGCAUCGUUGGUCCGGUGUACGACGGCGCCUGGUGCGAUUUAUGCGUCCGGAAGCCCUUUCAGCCUCCAGGCAUGUCCCCACCUGCCUCAUAGCCACCGACGCAUCUCACGGCGGGGUUCCAAUUGCGUGCGCGUAUGGAUGCUCCUAUUCGCCGCCGCCUUUCUAGCAACUAGUUGAUGUUAUGAUGCAUCGUUGGUCCGGUGUACGACGGCGCCUGAUGCGAUUUAUGCGUCCGGAAGCCCUUUCAGCCUCCAGGCAUGUCCCCACCUGCCUCACAGCGACCGAGGCAUCUCACGGCGGGGGUCUAAUUGCGUGCGCGUAUGGAUGCUCCUUUCCCCGCCGCCUUUCUAGCAACUAGUUGAUGUUAUGAUGCAUCGUUGGUCCGGCGUAUGACGGCGCCUGGUGCGAUUUAGGCGUCCGGAAGCCCUUUCAGCCUCCAGGCAUGUCCCCACCUGCCUCACAGCCACCGACGCAUCUCACGGCGGGGGUCUAAUUGCGUGCGCGUAUGGAUGCUCCUUUCCCCGCCGCCUUUCUAGCAACUAGUUGAUGUUAUGAUGCAUCGUUGGUCCGGCGUACGACGGCGCCUGAUGCGAUUUAUGCGUCCGGAAGCCCUUUCAGCCUCCAGGCAUGACCCCACCUGCCUCACAGCUACCGAGGCAUCUCACGGCGGGGGUCCAAUUGCGUGCGCGUAUGGAUGCUCCUUUCCCCGCCGCCUUUCUAGCAACUAGUUGAUGUUAUGAUGCAUCGUUGGUCCAGUGUACGACGGCGCCUGAUGCGAUUUAUGCGUCCGGAAGCCCUUUCAGCCUCCAGGCAUGUCCCCACCUGCCUCACAGCCACCGACGCAUCUCACGGCGGGGUUCCAAUUGUGUGCGCGUAUGGAUGCUCCUUUCCCCGCCGCCUUUCUAGCAACUAGUUGAUGUUAUGAUGCAUCGUUGGUCCGGUGUACGACGGCGCCUGAUGCGAUUUAUGCGUCCGGAAGCCCUUUCAGCCUCCAGGCACGUCCCCACCUGCCUCACAGCCACCGACGCAUCUCACGGCGGGGUUCCAAUUGUGUGCGCAUAUGGAUGCUCCUUUCCCCGCCGCCUUUCUAGCAACUAGUUGAUGUGAUGAUGCAUCGUCGGUCCGGUGUACGAUGGCGCCUGAUGCGAUUUAUGCGUCCGGAAGCCCUUUCAGCCUCCAGGCAUGUCCCCACCUGCCUCACAGCUACCGAGGCAUCUCACGGCGGGGUUCCAAUUGUGUGCGCGUAUGGAUGCUCCUUUCCCCGCCGCCUUUCUAGCAACUAGUUGAUGUUAUGAUGCAUCGUUGGUCCGGUGUACGAUGGCGCCUGAUGCGAUUUAUGCGUCCGGAAGCCCUUUCAGCCUCCAGGCACGUCCCCACCUGCCUCACAGCCACCGACGCAUCUCACGGCGGGGGUCUAAUUGCGUGCGCGUAUGGAUGCUCCUUUCCCCGCCGCCUUUCUAGCAACUAGUUGAUGUUAUGAUGCAUCGUUGUUCCAGUGUACGACGGCGCCUGAUGCGAUUUAUGCGUCCGGAAGCCCUUUCAGCCUCCAGGCAUGUCCCCACCUGCCUCACAGCCACCGACGCAUCUCACGGCGGGGUUCAUAUUGCGUGCGCGUAUGGAUGCUCCUUUCGCCGCCUUUCCAGCAACUAGUUGAUGUUAUGAUGCAUCGUUGGUCCGGCGUACGACGGCGCCUGAUGCGAUUUAUGCGUCCGGAAGCCCUUUCAGCCUCCANN